GGUAGAGUGGCUCAGUGGUAGAAUGCUUGCCUUGCAUGCAUGAGGCCCUGGGUUCGAUUCCUCAGUACCA
Molecule: transfer RNA, 70 nt
Filed under: Dipodomys ordii (Ord's kangaroo rat)
Lineage: Eukaryota; Metazoa; Chordata; Mammalia; Rodentia; Heteromyidae
Rfam family: tRNA
About the family: Transfer RNA (tRNA) molecules are approximately 80 nucleotides in length. Their secondary structure includes four short double-helical elements and three loops (D, anti-codon, and T loops).
Source: Rfam by way of RNAcentral